Molecule: ribosomal RNA, 433 nt
Filed under: uncultured bacterium
Lineage: Bacteria
Description: partial 16S ribosomal RNA
Rfam family: Bacterial small subunit ribosomal RNA
Source: RNAcentral
AACGAACGCUGGCGGCAUGCCUAACACAUGCAAGUCGAACGAAGGCUUCGGCCUUAGUGGCGCACGGGUGCGUAACGCGUGGGAAUCUGCCCUUAGGUUCGGAAUAACAGUUAGAAAUGACUGCUAAUACCGGAUGAUGACGUAAGUCCAAAGAUUUAUCGCCUGAGGAUGAGCCCGCGUAGGAUUAGCUAGUUGGUGUGGUAAAGGCGCACCAAGGCGACGAUCCUUAGCUGGUCUGAGAGGAUGAUCAGCCACACUGGGACUGAGACACGGCCCAGACUCCUACGGGAGGCAGCAGUGGGGAAUAUUGGACAAUGGGCGCAAGCCUGAUCCAGCAAUGCCGCGUGAGUGAUGAAGGCCUUAGGGUUGUAAAGCCCUUUUACCCGUGAUGAUAAUGACAGUAGCGGGAGAAUAAGCCCCGGCUAACUCCGUG